CCACCGUUUCUCAGGUUACAGCCGUGACGUUCUUCCGAGUCUGUGAUGACGUGCACGCCAUUGUGGCGGCACUCCCUAGCCUGUGACGUAAGACAGGUGAGCGGAUCGCCGGCGCUGGCGGUGAGGAGCCCGCCCGCACCCCCGGGACUCCCUGGCCCAGUUCCUCCGAUAGAAUGGCCUGCUCCCGCCUGCGGGGAAGCCUUCUCCAUGCCGGUGGAGAUGACCCGCCACAGAGAGACUUCGACCGUCCGCGUGGACACGUCGUCCCACCGCACAGAGACAACCUGCUGGUAGGUGCGAACCUCCUCCCGCCAGGUGGAGACGUCCCAGCAUCAUGGCAGCGAAGGCCCCUUCCUCGCCGCCUGCAGGUGUCUUCGCAGCAGGUGGAGGCGGCCUCCCACCGCGCCCGGGCCCCGAACUUGCGGGUGGAGACAGCGCUGCACCGCGUAGAGAGCUCGGCCCUGCGCGACGGGAAGGCGGCCCGCUGACACGCUUCCGCGAGGCGUCGAAAGAAAGGGCCCUCGGGGAGUCGGGCGGCAGCGCAGCCGGUUAAGCGCACGUGGCGCAAAGCACAAGGACCGGCGUAAGGAUCCCGGUUCGAGCCCCCGGCUCCCCACUUGCAGGGGAGUCGCUUCACAGGCGGUGAAGCAGGUCUGCAGGUGUCUCUCUCUCUCUCCGCCUCUCUUCCCCUCUUCAUUUCUCUCUGUCCUAUCCAACAACGACGACAUCAACAGCAAAAGGGAAUAAAUAAAUAAAAACUUUGAUGCGUGAAAGCCCUGCCUGCAUGCUUUUCAAGUUAGGUCACAUGUUACCACGAAAACUGAAGAUGGAGAAACAGUAACAGAAAAGAGACACCAUAGAUGACACUGUGCUGCUUUGUCUGUGCACAUGGAAAGUCAGACAACCUAGCAGUCUCCAGGCACUCAGCACUCCGUGGCAUGGCAAGGACAGAAGAGGUCUGGUGCAUUGUCCACUUCCAGUGUCACUGAAGGUUCCUGGGCACUUGGGAAGAUUUUGGAGAGAAGUUAGAAAGGCAUCUGACCUUCAAGGAAGUAAAUCUGUACAGAUGCACAUGGCAAACCCCCCAUGUCGGCAGCUUCUUUCAUUGCAGCCACCAAGUUGAAGAUGCUACUGCAGCAAUUACAGAAGACAGACCUUCCACCUUCUGCAUCCCAUAAAGAAUUUUGGUCCAUACUUAUAGAUGGGUAAAUAUUAGGGGAAGAUGACCAGAGGGCUCUGAACUCCAGUUCUAUCAGGACCUGAAGAGAGAAGAGGAAAAAAAAAAAAAAACCAACUACCUGUGAAAGCUGAUAAAUUAGAAAACUAUUACCUUGACAGUAAUAAAAGAUUUAUUUGCAAAUUUAAGAAAAGAAAGAGAAGGCAGGACCAUAGGAGAAAAUGGGCAAAUAUAUAUAUAAAUAUAGACCAAUAGUUAUUGAAAUAUUAGUCAGUUCAUAUCUGUGAUCUUGGAAGAACUACUGCAGUUUCCAGUGGAGGGAAUGAGGACACAGGACUCUGGUGGUGGGAAAGGUGUAAAAUUAGACCCCAUUAGAUUAAAAUUUUGUAAAACAAUUUAAAGAAUGUGUCAAGCAGAUAUACAAUAAAAACUUGCUAUUAUCCAAAUGUUAUGCUUCAGUUUUCAAGUGUAUAAAACAGUACACUAAAGUUAAUAUUUUUAAGUC
Erinaceus europaeus (western European hedgehog) is the source of this 1682-nucleotide long non-coding RNA. RefSeq lists it as uncharacterized. Lineage: Eukaryota; Metazoa; Chordata; Mammalia; Eulipotyphla; Erinaceidae. The transcript has 4 exons. The record is from RefSeq and is a predicted model, not a curated record.